Molecule: ribosomal RNA, 440 nt
Filed under: uncultured bacterium
Lineage: Bacteria
Description: partial 16S ribosomal RNA
Rfam family: Bacterial small subunit ribosomal RNA
Source: RNAcentral
CCUACGGGUGGCAGCAGUGGGGGAUAUUGCACAAUGGGGGGAACCCUGAUGCAGCGACGCCGCGUGGGUGAAGGAGUGCUUCGGCAUGUAAAGCCCUAUCGGCAGGGAAGAAGCACGACGGUACCUGACUCAGCAGCCCCGGCUAACUACGUGCCAGCAGCCGCGGUAAUACGUAGGGGGCGAGCGUUAUCCGGAUUUAUUGGGUUUAAAGGGUGCGUAGGCGGGCAUUUAAGCCGGCGGUCAAAUGUCGGGGCUCAACCCCGGCCUGCCGUCGGAACUGGGUGCCUUGAGUGGGCGAGAAGUAUGCGGAAUGCGUGGUGUAGCGGUGAAAUGCAUAGAUAUCACGCAGAACCCCGAUUGCGAAGGCAGCAUACCGGAGCCCGACUGACGCUGAGGCACGAAAGUGCGGGUAUCGAACAGGAUUAGAUACCCCGGUAGUC